AGCUUUAUAUUCAUUAGGUGAUUAUAGAAUGCAAUUCUAUAGGGGUAGUUUUGCUACUAAGGCUU
This is a non-coding RNA of Zootermopsis nevadensis, 65 nucleotides long. The record is from the annotation of a RefSeq genome assembly. NCBI's taxonomy places the organism in Eukaryota, Metazoa, Arthropoda, Insecta, Blattodea, Termopsidae.